GGGAGAGGCGCUCUGGCUCAGACAUCUGCCACCCUGUUGAUCACCAGGACUGAUGCGGCUACUCUGGUUCAGCGAGCGUCCUCUCGUCCUCUGCUUCCCUCGUGCUACCUGGGCCCGGCCCUUCCUGGCUGUGCACUGGGUCAAAGACUGACCUCCAGUGAAGAGGACCAUUCAUUGGCCGAGCCGCUAUGAGUCACUGGCUGCGUGGGUUUCCUGCUAGAACCUCUGGAGAAGCUCUCACAGUCCAAACAGGGCCAUCAAAUUACAAAUACACUGAUUUGAUGAGU
Molecule: small RNA, 287 nt
Filed under: Jaculus jaculus (lesser Egyptian jerboa)
Lineage: Eukaryota; Metazoa; Chordata; Mammalia; Rodentia; Dipodidae
Description: 7SK RNA (ENSJJAG00000005729.1)
Source: RNAcentral